RNAcentral lists this long non-coding RNA (551 nucleotides) under Theobroma cacao (cacao). RNAcentral describes it as "long non-coding RNA (TCAC_LNC003617)". Lineage: Eukaryota; Viridiplantae; Streptophyta; Magnoliopsida; Malvales; Malvaceae. The record is from RNAcentral.
AAACAAAAUUCACAGUUAUAAUUUUAUUACAAACCUUAUUGGAAUUGCUAUUAAUGUUAGUAUAGGAAGUAAAAAACAGGGUGCUUACAGGAAAUAAUCAUGCAUAGAAACUUGAAUACAAAGAAUAACUCUUUUAGUGGCCUUCAUAUGAGGGGUGGUACGUAUAUUCAGCCUGCGUGCUGGGAUGAAUUGCUUCUGAGACCAGACUAGCAGUAUGGAAUUUGGCAAUGAAAAUAGAAGCUUUCGUGUCAAUAGCAGGGUCAGCAACCACCUCGUCUGUGUUAUCUUCAUCACUUGCGUACACCUUUUGUGUGUUGUCUUCAUCACUUGCAUACACCUUUUUUGGAGUAUAAUGAUCUUGAUCCCUACAAGUACCACCCUUCUGAUCUCUACGAGUACCACCCUUUUUACUUUCCCUCUUACCUUUGAAGAGACUGAAGCAAGAGAAGUAUUUCCUGUUCUUUUUCCCACCCAUAGCCAUUUAUCUUGUUUUUCUGCUCACUCGAAUACACUCACUAAAGGUUAGGAUGAGUUCUGCACUUGGCGCUGCA